Corythoichthys intestinalis (scribbled pipefish) is the source of this 10162-nucleotide long non-coding RNA. RefSeq lists it as uncharacterized. NCBI's taxonomy places the organism in Eukaryota, Metazoa, Chordata, Actinopteri, Syngnathiformes, Syngnathidae. The record is from RefSeq and is a predicted model, not a curated record. The transcript is spliced from 2 exons.
AGAGAGCAGGUGCGGUCGGUUUCUCAUGCAUGUGAUGCGCAUUGUAUUAAUUUGUAUAUCUUUAUAAUUUUGUCAUCGUUAACAAUGUUGUAAAUGUAACAGUUUCAUGCAAGUUUCAUGUUGAAGCAUCACCUUUGACUGAGAAGAGUGCGUUUGAGAAGACCGCCAUUGGUUGAAUGCAGGCUAAAGUGUUCUACGGUGUUUGGUGUUCUGAAGAGAAAUAAUCAUCAGUGAAUGGAACUGAAGCCUCAUUUGAAAUCAAUGAGCGGUACAGUAGAACACUUUUGCGUCGUGAAGAAGGACUUGGAAGUGAAGAAGGAUCGGGUGCAGACCUACGGAAGGGGAAGGAUCACGUGUGAGCGGUUCGUGUGAUUCCAAGUGGACAAGGCUACACAAGCGAGCACAUGAAGAUUGUGUCUUUAAAGUAGCGCAAGUACUUGUUAAUUGCCAUUAAGUGUGUCAUUAGAACUUUCAAAUGUGUUCUUCUUUAAGCGUAUUCUCUGCACUUCUAAGUAAAUCAGUAAUUCUCCAUUCUAGUUGACGUUCAAAUGUUCCAAGUGCAUAUCUAAGUAUUUUGAUUUGAGUUCUCAGAAUAAUUGUUGUUAUUGAGAAUUGUUUCCACAUUAUUAACCAUUUGCACACUCAUAAUAGAACUGUCAGUGUGAUGUAGUUUUUGAGGUGCACACAAAGGUCAAGUUAAAGUACACAAUAAGAUUUACAUUUAAAUUUCACUCAGAGAAAGCAAUUAAUAACAUGUCAACCAGUUAAGCAUAAUUCAUUUAAUAUGCCACACACAAAGGAAAAUGUUAUCCCGCCAGCUGAAGAGACCACUCAAGGUAAUUGUUCAAGGCAGACUGUCUUCUCACACCAAGUGGAUGUCAAAGUAAGUUGAAACAAGAAGAGAAGUUGAUCAAUCUCAGGUUGGUACAGAUGAUGAAGAAAUGCCUCCUGAAAUUAAGAAAACUGUACGCACACGUAAGCUCACUGAAAAGGGAAUGAGUCUGUUAAAUGGCAAAUGGAGCAAUUUAAAUGAAAGAACUGUGAAAAUGUACAAAAGAUGGAAAUAUAUGAAUGGUUUAAAGUGGUCAAUUAAAGAUAAAUAUGGUGAAGAUCUGAUCGAUGAGGUUAUAAAUUAAAUCAACGCAAUACAGGUUGAGAUUGAUGAAACCUACAUCCAAAUAAGAGACCUUACAAUUCCCGAGCCUGACAUUCGAAGAAUAAAUGACACGUGCCAGGCAUUGUCGAAAACCGCAAACAUAAAUGCUCAACAAUAUCGAAGUGGUGAUGAUAAAGACAUAUUGUGGCCUGAUUCGAAGUCAGUGUUUGACAGCACAGUAUCCAGCAUUUACUAAGCCAAAAAAAGUAAGACUUCUUCCAAAUCAUCUUUCCACUCGUCAGUCUUGUCCCUUAAUCAGGCAUGAAAAUCUCUCACCUUUCGGCGAAAUUCGCCGUUUUGAAGUCAAAAAGGGCGACCUACGUGAAUUGCGUAGAUCCGAGGAGAAAUUCUGUUUGGGGGGGGGGGGGGGGGGGUCGGGUCGGGAGGUUUUAUUAAAUUAUUAUUAUCAUCAUGCGAUUAACUUAGUCCGUAAACUGAUCGGUUCUUAAAAAAAGUGACACGGACAGUCAGCAAAUCCUUCUAGAUGCUUCGCUGACGAGAACCAAUCAUCGGCCCAAGCUGCGGGCCAUUAUUUCAAACGCGCGCACUCCUUACGUGAAACAAGGAGUGCUCGGCGAGCCUUUGGUUGAAUUGCAAAGCAGCGAAAACAAAAAAGCAGGCCUUAUCCACACCGGGCAGACCAGAGCGCAGCAUAUACACUUGCCUGUAUUUGCCAGCAGAUUGAAUUUGGUGAGUAAUGGUUUCAAUCGUUUUCACAUUUUGCGAUAUAAAAAAGUUAAUGCCAUUCGUUGCAGCUUGCGUUGAACACUGCCAGAGCUAGCCAAAUCUCCCAUGAAAAAAAUAGCUCCCGUUAAAUUGGCGUCAAGCUUGUGUAUUUAGCGGUAAUAUAAACGAAGAGAAACACUGUUGAGUCAAAUUAAGCGGCAUGCUCUCGGAUUGAGGGGUCGCCUCGCAUCGCAUCGCUCCCGUCGUCCGCCUUAGACGCGUUAUUUUCGGCUGGGACUUGAGCUGACGGCUGGUGUCGGCACAACACCGGCCCGACGAGUGGUGGGAAUGACUCUUGCUUCUUAAAGCUUUUCAGAAAUACAGGGAUCCCUCGUUUUUCGCAGUUAAUGGGGACCAGAACCCGCCGCAAUAAGUGAAAACCGCGAAGUAGCGCCCCCCAUUUUUUGGGUGUGUGUUCAAUGUAUUUAUUCAGAUUUUACAUUGGAAAAAAGAUACAUAUAUAUGACAUUUUUUUUUCACUUUUUUCACCAAAGUAUCAUUUAUAAAUGGUUUUCAAGCACUUCAAAAUGUAAGAAUUAUGAUAAGUUUUAAACAUGUUACUGCCCCACCGAAUUAUUUUUAAACAAGAAUAAAGUAGUAAGAAAAUGCUUGGCUUUAUUAAAUGCUUCAUACUGAGUCUACUCAAACCCUCUCAGGCUUUGUUAAACGGUGAUUGACACAUGUGCAAGUUUUUCUUUUUAUAUAUAUUUUUUGUUCGAAGCAACUUAUUUGAUUGAAUAAUAAAAACACAAAUGUCCUAGCCAAAAUGUGGUCCAAACGCAAAACAUUACUUCAAUGGAAAAAUUUGUUUCAAUCAAGAAAAAUAGUUUUCAAAUGCUUUUUUUGUCUCAAAUUUAUUUUGCAAUCAAAAACAUUUUUUUUUAAUUGAAGUGACUUUUGGGAUUAAAAGUAUAACUGUAUUUUGAUUGAAGCAACUUUUUGAUAGAAGUAACUUUGUUUUUUGAUUGAAUAAUAAAAACACAAAUCUACCUCCAUCGUUAUUGAGAGAGAAAGAAAUUAAGAAAGCUUUAAAACUAAAAGCCACCGGGGAGUCUGUUUUUUUUUUUUUAUUUUUUUUUUUUUAAAUAUUUAUAUUUCAUUACAUAGACAUGCCUCGUAGGGAAAGGAGAUUAAGGGAUAAAAAAAAGUUGGAUGAGGCUGCUAAAAGCAGCGGAUACCUCAUCAGCUAGGUGAAUAGCAGACCUGGUAAGAACAGGUUUGCAAGGAUAGUCGGGUAUUAAAUACAAUUAUAAACACAUUACAAUGUUAUUUUUCUAUAAGAUUUUAUGUCAUUGCUUUAUUAAUCAUUAGGUGCAAGAGUUGUUAAGUAUGGAUAAUAAUGAAAUAAUAGUUUUGAGAAAACUGCUGUUGGUGGUUUGUUCUCAGAUGAACAAGUUGAGGAAGGAAGUUUUGAUGCAGAGGUUGAAGGAAGAAAAGAGCUAGACUGACUGAGUCACAGCCAGAAAGUGUGGAUGACAGUUUUGAUUUCUAUUCACUGUUGCCCCCUCCCAAUUAAAGUAUGUCACAGUCACAGCCAAUUAUUAUCUAAAGCUGGUUAAAUUUGAAGUUAUGUUGUUUUAAGGUGUAUUAAAUACUUGUUCAUGUGCCCCUUUUGAUCUACGAGCGCCCGCCCCUCCACCGGUCUCUGCAUGGCCCUGCUGAAACACAGUGUGGGUCGACAGAGCUCAAUAUUUUGUUGGGGUGUACAGUGUACUGGAACAUAUUUCCUCCACACCCUUCUCACCUUUUUAACCCCUGACCCAUUUUCAUGCCUGCUUAAUGUAAAACAAGCAGAAGCUAAAGUUGUGGCAACUCUAGAAGUACUAAAAAUAAUGCUCAACAUCAACAAAGAGAAGCAAUUGAAAGACUUGAGCUUGUUGAUCAAAUCGUGGCAGCUGAAAUUGAAGCAGAAAAUGCUAAGAAAAAAGCUAAAUUCAUAGCAGAGAGCGCAAGUAGAAAAUUUAAGCUGGAACAGAAAAGGAGCAAUAGAACGUCUAGAAGAACUUUAAGGACAUGUUGUAGCACAAGCAAGGUUCCAAGUUUAUUCAGAAGCUCUCAAUCAACCAACUACACUUAACCCUUUAAGUCAGGGGUCCCCAAACUUUUUCCUGUGAGGGCCACAUAACUUUUCCCUUAUCUGAUGAGGGGCCGGGGUCAGUUUGUAACAGAAAAACAGUGACGAUUGCAGGAGUGCCUAAAUGUAAAAAAAUUGUUUUUCAGAAAGCCACAAUCAAAUAACCCUUUCUAGAUUCUUCACGGAACAAAUGUAAAUAAAAAAAAUAUAUAUAUAUAAAUAAUAAAAAUAACACUAUUAAUUAGAUAACAACCAAAUAACCCUCUCUGAGUUCUUCACAGAAAAAGGCAAGGAAAUAACACUAUUAAGGAAAAAAAAAAAUCGCGCUCUGGUAUUGUUCAGGGGGCCGGACCAAAUGUGGAGGCGGGCCGUAGUUUGGGGACCCUUGCUUUAAGUGAACCAUUUUUCCCAUCUCAUCAAGCACAAGUCUCCAUAGUUUCUGAGGAACAAGCCAAGUCUGGUCAAGUACAGCAUCAACAUGAUGUAAAACCCAUCAGAAAUGCUGUUCCAAAUGUAUUCAUCCAGACCUCUCCUUCUGUUCCACCAGUAAGCAGCCAAGUUCCUACUACUCAAGCACCAGUCCCUCUCAAUGCUUCUAAUGAUCUCGUAAGAACUAUUACUGAAGCAAUUACAGCUAAUCGAGUUCCAAUUCCAGAACCUGAGAUCUUUACAGGUGAUCAUCUUAAGUAAAAUGACUGGAAGUUGUCCUUUUGCACUUUGAUCGAUCGCAAGAAUCUUCCAACUCAAGAAAAGCUGUUCUAUUUACGGAAAUAUGUUGGUGGCACAGCCAAAAGAGAAAUAGAUGGCCACUUUAUAGUAGGGACAGAAAGUGCUUAUUGUGCUGCUUGAAAUGUACUUGAAGAAAGAUUCGGUAACCCAUUUGUAGUUGCCAAAUCAUAUCGUGACAAGAUAUAUGCAUGGCAUAAAAUUGGCCAUAAGGACAUUGACAAUCUGCGUGAUUUCCUGAGCAGUGUGGAGUCUGCAAUGCCAUACAUUCAAGGUCUACAAAUACUGAACAAUUGUGUGGAAAAUCAAAAGAUUACUGUCAAACUCCCAGAUUGGUUGAGCUAACGUUGGAACAGAGAAGUAACAAUCUAUCAAGAUCAAAACUGCAUGUUCCCUGAUUUUAAAUUCUUCGUAAGAUUCCUCAGCACAGAAACUCGAAUAGAAUGUAACCCUAUCACAUCGUUACAUGCACUGAAGCUGGCUGAACAAGAAAGAUCAAACCCAACAGAACGGGAACAGUCCAAGUUUCAAGUCAGAAGGUCAGUGUUAAGACUUUUACCACAAACACAAGUGAAAAGACAAGCCUUGCAUGUCUAUUUUGCAAGAAAAAGGGUCACACUCUUCAUAGGUGUCACAAAAUUAUGGAAAACUGUUGAAGAAAGAGUAAAGUUUAUUCAACUGGAAAUAUUGUUUCAGGUGCCUAAAAUCUGGACAUAACUCCAAGGUUUGCAAAUCCAGGAGGGUGUGCGAAUAAUGUGGAAAAGGACAUCCCACAUGUCUCCAUCGAGAUCGUGCAAAGAAAGAUCAAGAGCAAAGUUUAAAUAACAAACAAGAAAACAUAACUGAGAGCCAAGCAGACAAUCACCAACAGUUGGAAAACGAAGAAACACAGCAAGUGACUUCGAACAGAGUUAUUCAAGAAAUGAACAGUACUCUUACCUCAUCUAUUGUUCCUGUCUGUUUCCACGAUAGCAGAACCUGAAAGGGAACUUCUAAUGUAUGCCUUACUUGAUAGUCAGAGCGACACAACCUUCAUUCUUGAAGAUGCAGCAGAAACAUUGUGCGCCAACAAAACACCAGUCGAACUUAAAGUGUCAACCAUAACAUCAAAAACAAAGGUUGUGAAAAGUCAAAGAGUGCAAGGACUACAAGUAAGAGGCAUCAACAGUGAAACUAAAACUUCCAAAAACAUGUACCAGAGACUACAUACCAGCAAACAGGUCCCAUGUACUCACAAGCUCAACUGCAAAGUCAUGGCCUCACUUAAAGCAUUUAGUAGCAGAAAUGUCUCCUGAGCUUGACUGUGAAGUGGGAUUGUUAAUUGGCUAUGACUGUCCCGCAAGCCUUACUUCCUAGAAAGGUUAUAAUGGGCAACAAAAAACAACCAUAUGCCCAAGGGUCUGUGUUUGGUUGGAGCAUUAUUGGCAAAGCAACACCGACAUUGACUACCACCACGAAGAUGGAAAUGGCGUGAGUCAUCAUAUCAUCAGGAGAAAUGUGCUACCAGCUACCAAGUCCUCAUCAGCGAUCAAGACAGAGGUCCAGUUUGUUUGUCGAACCCAAGUCAAAGAAGUGAUCACACCGUCAGAUAUACUCAAGGUUUUUGAGUCAGAUUUGACUGAGAAGUUCAGUGAAGAAAUUUGCAUAUCACAAGAAGACAUUACAUUCUUGAAGAAGCUAAAUGAUGGCAUCAAGCAAAAGCGGAGUGGACAUUACGAAAUGCCAUUGCCUUUUAAAGAACUUAGACCAUCUCUGCCGAACAACAAAGUGUGUGCUGAACAUUGACUCAGAUGUCUUGAGAAACGUCUUAAGAAAGAUGAUCACUAUCGCAGUGAUUAUGUUGCCUUUAUGGACGACAUAAUUGCUAGAGGAGAUGCUGAAAAGGUUCCAGAGUCUCAGAUAAACAACCAGUCCUUAUGGUAUGUCCCUCACCAUGGUGUUUAUCACCCUCAUAAACCAGGAAAGGUUCGAGUGGUAUUUGACUGUUCAGCUAAAUUCCAGAAUACAUCCUUUAAACGAGCAUCUACUUACUGGGCCUGACCUAACGAACACCCUUGUAGGAGUCUUGCUUCGCUUUCGCAAAGGACAAGUAGCUAUCAUGUGUGAUGUGGAGCGAAUGUUCCAUCAGUUCCACGUUGCACCAAAGGACCAAGACUACCUCCGAUUUCUGUGGUGGGAAAAAGGAAAUAUGGAAAUUCCACCUUCAGUGUUCCGAAUGAAGGUUCACUUAUUUGGCGCUGCUUCGUCACCAGGAUGCGCAAACUUUGGGCUCAAGCACCUAGCUGCAGAAGGAACAGGCAAGUUUAGCGACGCUACCGUAAAGUUCAUUCAGCGCAAUUUUGAUGUUGAUGAUGGAUUGAUAAGUUUGGACAGUGAAGAAGAAGCUAUACAGCUUGUUAGAGAGGCAAGGGAGCUCUGCAGUGCUGGUAAGCUCCACCUACACAAAUUCAUCACCAAUAACAAGAAAGUGCUUGCCACAAUCCCUAAGCAGGAACGUGCUGAAGGUGUAGCGGACCUAGACUUGGCCUUGUGAAAACACAAGAUGGCGCGAGCUCUCUGGGUCCAAUGGUGCAUCAGUUAAGAUAAGUUUCAAUUUAAAGUGAGAAUAAAAACCCAUCCCUUUACAAGAAAAGGAGUAUUGUCAACAGAGGCUUCAAUUUUUUAUCCCCUUGGAUUCGUAGCGCCCGUCAUUUUGAAAGGCAAACAAAUUCUACAAAGAAUGUGCCAAGAGAAGUUAGGAUGGGAUGAGCCCAUUUCUGAAGAACUCAGGCUGCAGUGGGAAGCAUUGCUGCAAGACAUCCAUGAUUUGUCUUUCGUGGGGAUACCACAGCACUACAUACCACUGAAUGCCAAGGAGGUUCACAAGUAUGAACUUCAUCAUUUUUCCGACGCCAGCACCUCAGGCUAUGGUAUUUGUUCUUACCUCAGAGCUGUGUCAGAGUCUGGAAAAGUUAAUUGUGUGCUUGUCAUGGCAAAGGCACGGGUUGCGCCAACUAAGAUAACGACAAUUCCAAGGCUGGAACUUUUAGCUACACUGUUGGCCACAAGGAUAAGUGAUCUGCUAAAAAGUGAAAUAGAGAUUGAAGAUGGACAGAAUUACUUUUGGACUGAUUCCAAGGUUGUUCUUGGAUACAUGAAUGACGACGAAAAACGAUUUCAUUUAUUCGUAGCCAAUCGAAUACAAAAGAUCAAAUGAAUCACCACACCAAGUCAAUGGCAAUAUGUUGCUUCAGAAGAUAAUCCUGCAGACUGUGCCUCUCACGGACUUACCACAAAGGAGCUUGUGAAAUCCAACUGGUUCACAGGACCUAGUUUUUUGUGGCACAAGAACCUUCCUACAAGCGAAGACAUGACGGUGGGAGAGCUAGACCAAGAUGACCCAGAAAUUAAAAGAGCAAAUGUACACACAACAAAAACAAAGGAAGAAAGAUCUCUGUUAGAUCGACUUCAAAAAUUUUCAGAUUGGAAGAGAACUGUACAGGCCAUUGCAAGACUUAAACGUUUGGCAAAAGAACUGGCAGGUCUUAAAACAAGAUCCAACGAAACUACAACAAUAUAAGAAAGAAAAGAUGUUGAACAACUCAUAAUCAAGAUGGUUCAAGAAGAAAUGUUUAGGGAUGAAAUCAAAUCUCUAAAACAAGCUAAAGACCUACAAAAGAAUAAGUCCUUUGAGCUGUACAAGUUGAAUCCAUUUAUGGAUAACCAAGGUAUCCUCAGGGUGGGAGGAAGAUUGACGCAGUCAACACUCCAUCCACACGUCAGACACCCAGCUAUUCUCCCUAGGGGGACAUCACGCAAGUCGAUUGUUGAUAAAGUACCACCAUGAGAAGAUUCGACAUCAGGGUCGUGGGAUGACAAUCAAUGCACUACGCUCCAAUGGUAUUUGGAUCAUAGGGUGUAGUCGUGAAGUGUCAUCAUCCAUCUUCAAGUGCAUCAAAUGCAGAAAAUUCAGAAAGUGCAAUCAGGGACAAAAAAUGGCAGACCUUCCACUCGAGAGGAUGGAAGCAACCCCUCCAUUAACCUACAGUGGAAUGGACUGCUUUGGACCAUUUUCUGUCAAAGAUGGCAGAAAAGAAGUAAAAAAUAUGGGCUUUUAUUCACUUGCAUGUGCUCAAGAGCUGUUCACAUUGAGGUAUUAGAUGAUCUUACCUCUGAUGCUUUCCUCAACGCACUGCGCUGCUUUAUUGCCGUAAGGGGCAGUGUAAGUCAACUGCGGAGUGACCAAGGCACGAACUUUGUAGGAGCACGCAACGAAUUCCAAGUACUAAUGAAAGGAUUAGAGCAAGAACAUUUGAAAAGGCUAGGAUGCGAUUUCGUCCUGAACCCACCUGCUUCCAGUCAUAUGGGCGGCGUUUGGGAGAGACAAAUCCGCACUGUGAGAAGUGUUCACACUUCUGUUCUAGACCAAUCUGCUGGAAGAUUAGACAGCUCUUCAUUGAGGACUUUCCUAUAUGAAGUCAUGGCUAUUGUUAAUAGUCGACGCUUGUCCACAGAACAUCUCAAUGACCCGUUAGGACCAGAACCCCUAACGCCCAACCAUAUCUUGACAAUGAAAUCUUCAAUCAUUGCUCUGCCACCUGGAGCGAAGAUCUCCAAAAACGAUGGAAACGAGUUCAAUUCCUGUCCAAUUUAUUUUGGACCAGGUGGCGGAAAGAGUAUUUGCUGAAUCUGCAACGAAGAAGCAAAUGGAACAAAACCAGGAGAAAUACCAAAGUAAAUGACAUUGUCGUGUUGCAAGAUGAUGGACCAAGAAAUCAGUGGAAAUUGGCAAGAGUAGUUGAAGUUCUCCAAGGAGCUGAUGGAAAGGUCAGAAAACUCACUAUUACUCAAAGAUGCAAUACAUGACAGUCAAUGUAGUUUCAAAACAAAGCCAAUUUACAUUGAAAGGCCCAUCCACAAGACAGUUCUAUUACUUGAGGCUGAUUAAGUAGAUCCACAGUUUAUUUGACAACUUGGCUCUAUGUACCUAUGUUAAAGUUUUCACUGUCUGUUGAUAAUACACUAUAAAUGUUCAAGUUAAUCACAGCGUUCUGUGAUGGUGGGAGUGUAGCUGCAGGCAUCUGCAUUCAUGUUGAAUACGUCAUGCUUUUAUUUUGACACGUUAACCGGAAGUGCGCACGCUACGACGCUAACCGGAAGCUUUACAUUUUUGGAGAGAAAGAGAGCAGGUGCGGUCGGUUUCUCAUGCAUGUGAUGCGCAUUGUAUAUCCUUAUAAUUUUGUCAUCGUUAACAAUGUUGUAAAUGUAACAGUUUCAUGCAAGUUUCAUGUUGAAGCAUCACAUUUGACUGAGAAGAGUGCGUUUGAGAAGACCGCCAUUGGUUGAAUGCAGGCUAAAGUGAUCAGUGCAACUUUGUAUUGUAUUUUGCCAUUAGCGUCUUUGCUGCAAUGCUAGCGUUGUACAAAUUGAAUAUAUGUUUGUUUUUAUUUAGUUCUACGGUGUUUGGUGUUCUGAAGAGCAAUAAACAUCAGUGAAUGGAA